UAGAGUUUGAUCAUGGCUCAGAUUGAACGCUGGCGGCAGGCCUAACACAUGCAAGUCGAGCGGUAACAGGAAUUAGCUUGCUAAUUUGCUGACGAGCGGCGGACGGGUGAGUAAUGGCUGGGAACCUGCCCUAAUGAGGGGGAUAACAGUUGGAAACGACUGCUAAUACCGCAUGACGUCUUAUCUGUAGUGGAUUUGACCAAAGAGGAGGACCUUCGGGCUUCUCGCAUUAGGAUGGGCCCAGUUGGGAUUAGCUUGUUGGUGAGGUAAUGGCUCACCAAGGCGACGAUCCCUAGCUGGUUUGAGAGGAUGAUCAGCCACACCGGAACUGAGACACGGUCCAGACUCCUACGGGAGGCAGCAGUGGGGAAUAUUGCACAAUGGGGGAAACCCUGAUGCAGCCAUGCCGCGUGUGUGAAGAAGGCCUUCGGGUUGUAAAGCACUUUCAGUUGUGAGGAAAGGUGUGUAGUUAAUAGCUGCAUACUGUGACGUUAACAACAGAAGAAGCACCGGCUAACUUCGUGCCAGCAGCCGCGGUAAUACGAGGGGUGCAAGCGUUAAUCGGAAUUACUGGGCGUAAAGCGUUCGUAGGCGGUUGAAUAAGCAAGAUGUGAAAGCCCAGGGCUCAACCUUGGAACUGCAUUUUGAACUGUUCGACUAGAGUACUGUAGAGGGGGGUAGAAUUUCA
RNAcentral lists this ribosomal RNA (688 nucleotides) under uncultured Vibrionaceae bacterium. RNAcentral's name for it is "bacterial SSU rRNA". It matches the Rfam family "Bacterial small subunit ribosomal RNA", at positions 1 to 671 of the family's 1533-position model. Lineage: Bacteria; Pseudomonadati; Pseudomonadota; Gammaproteobacteria; Vibrionales; Vibrionaceae. The record is from RNAcentral.